Molecule: ribosomal RNA, 497 nt
Filed under: uncultured bacterium
Lineage: Bacteria
Description: partial 16S ribosomal RNA
Rfam family: Bacterial small subunit ribosomal RNA
Source: RNAcentral
GAUGAACGCUGGCGGCGUGCCUAAUACAUGCAAGUCGAGCGAACAGACGAGGAGCUUGCUCCUCUGACGUUAGCGGCGGACGGGUGAGUAACACGUGGAUAACCUACCUAUAAGACUGGGAUAACUUCGGGAAACCGGAGCUAAUACCGGAUAAUAUAUCGAACCGCAUGGUUCAAUAGUGAAAGAUGGCUUUGCUGUCACUUAUAGAUGGAUCCGCGCCGCAUUAGCUAGUUGGUAAGGUAACGGCUUACCAAGGCAACGAUGCGUAGCCGACCUGAGAGGGUGAUCGGCCACACUGGAACUGAGACACGGUCCAGACUCCUACGGGAGGCAGCAGUAGGGAAUCUUCCGCAAUGGGCGAAAGCCUGACGGAGCAACGCCGCGUGAGUGAUGAAGGUCUUCGGAUCGUAAAACUCUGUUAUUAGGGAAGAACAAAUGUGUAAGUAACUAUGCACGUCUUGACGGUACCUAAUCAGAAAGCCACGGCUAACUACGUG